GUUCAUAAGCUCGGAACGCAGCUGCCUCUUUGCUAUUGGUGGAGAGAUGGAGGACUCGUCAUCUGUCACGUCCCAGAGUUCCCAGUCCCAUGUCAGCCAGAGAACAGCAGCACCCAGCCUCAGAAAGAACAGCUCACCUGCUACCAUCAGGAAGAAGCCCUCCAUCUCUCCCAAACCACCAGUGCUGGCUGCUCCUCAGAGCCUGCAAAAGAUCAAAGAAAACCGACGGCCAGUACUUUCUUCACAGGGCAAAGAAGUGGUUGCUAUAGGAAAUCAACAGAAGUUUAACCUGUGGAUUCAACGGUCAGAUUGAUGGUGCAGCCUACUGUGACCGUCCUGUGGAUCUCUGAGGAGUGAUGAUGGAGUGCAGUCAAGCUGACCAUCCUGGCAUGAAGAAGGUUUGAAUUAAAAACGCUUGUGAUAACAGAUACGGUAACUAAGACCUCUAGUUGACAAGCACUGGAGAGAAAGCCACUUUUGUUUUUAAAGAGCUACUGUAUCUGGAAUAUUCUAGCUGAAAUAUCAUGAAAAAUGAACACCUGAUGAACUGUGGUUAGCUUAAAGGGUAUCCAUUCAUCUGAUAAUACUACUUGAACAACCACUUCUUUAUCAGCUACUGCUUUAACUGAAUGACUAUGCGUUUGAC
Molecule: long non-coding RNA, 646 nt
Organism: Oncorhynchus tshawytscha (Chinook salmon)
Lineage: Eukaryota; Metazoa; Chordata; Actinopteri; Salmoniformes; Salmonidae
Source: Ensembl